ACGGCUCUUUCCCCCUAAAGUAAACAAGGAAGCAUGUGGUCCUGGCAGAUGAAGUCAGCCAUUUUGUGAUCCUGAAGAUGAAAUUGGCUUUUCAACUUGAGCUACAGCUGUAACCAAAUCAUAACUGAAACUGCCUCUCCCUCUAGACUUUUCAAUUAUGCACUGACAUCCUUGUCGUCUUCCUCUUCCUUGAUCCUGAACCAGAGUCCAUCCCAGAGCCUCCGUGCUGGUGGCUUUGUCUGACAGCUAAGUGCUGACCAACCAUCAUGCUUACCGAUGUCCUCGAAAUCCUACCCUUCCGCCAGAUCCGCAUUGCCCAUCUGUUUUCAUCUGCUCUGACAAAGUUUUGAUGACACCACACAGUCGUCAAAGGUACUUGGUACCUGGCACAGAUAUCCGGAGGGGAUGCAGGGACCACUACACCCCAACACAGCACCUGGGGAAACUCCUGAAGACCCUAAGGCGACAGAUGUCCUGUCCUACACACAGAGGGAGGAGGCCGAGAAGGCUCUGAGCCACGUGUCUUACUAAGUGUCCCCUGGACUAUCACCCUUAAGUCAAACUUCCUUUUUGUUUAAUCACACUUCUGUACAACUGUCCCUUCUUGAUUAAAGCUAAGCAUAAAAAGACACCAUGUUCUCUGGGUCUUUGGCUCCAGUGUCACUUAGGACUUUGGUUCAACAGGUUUUCUCUUGUUAACCCAUCAUUUGUUAUAGGGGUGUCAGAGUGAACCUUGCAAUGGGUGAAAAUAAGACAAAAACUUCCCC
This 767-nucleotide long non-coding RNA is filed under the name Fukomys damarensis (Damara mole-rat). RNAcentral describes it as "lncRNA (ENSFDAG00000029646.1)". The record is from RNAcentral. Lineage: Eukaryota; Metazoa; Chordata; Mammalia; Rodentia; Bathyergidae.